GGUGGAGGGGUGUAGUGGCAGGAAGUGCGCCAUCAUACACGCACGAUUACGGGUUCGAUUCCCAUCUUGGCCA
RNAcentral lists this transfer RNA (73 nucleotides) under Haemonchus contortus (barber pole worm). RNAcentral describes it as "tRNA, Pseudo". The record is from RNAcentral. Lineage: Eukaryota; Metazoa; Nematoda; Chromadorea; Rhabditida; Trichostrongylidae.